Molecule: ribosomal RNA, 253 nt
Filed under: uncultured bacterium
Lineage: Bacteria
Description: partial 16S ribosomal RNA
Rfam family: Bacterial small subunit ribosomal RNA
Source: RNAcentral
UACGUAGGGGGCAAGCGUUGUCCGGAUUUAUUGGGCGUAAAGAGCGUGUAGGCGGCCAGGUAGGUCUGCUGUGAAAACUCGAGGCUCAACCUCGAGAUGUCGGCGGAAACCAUCUGGCUAGAGUCCGGAAGAGGAGAAUGGAAUUCCCGGUGUAGCGGUGAAAUGCGCAGAUAUCGGGAAGAACACCCGUGGCGAAGGCGGCCCCCUGGUUGGAUACUGACGCUGAUACGCGAAAGCGUGGGGAGCAAACAGG